Molecule: long non-coding RNA, 1620 nt
Organism: Daphnia pulicaria
Lineage: Eukaryota; Metazoa; Arthropoda; Branchiopoda; Diplostraca; Daphniidae
Exons: 4
Source: RefSeq, a predicted model, not a curated record
GUUCGUGACUUUGACAAAGAGGACACAGACGUUACUUAGAGCAACUUUACAGAUGCGCCAACAAGCCCAAGACCCCGAACUGCUUAUUGAUCUGCAGCAUAGUCACUCUUGCUAAUUCAUAUUCUGCCACGCCUGAACUAAGAAAAACUUGGUUGGAAACAAUUGCUCAUCAUCAUACUCGCUUGGGGAAUUGGUCCGAAGUAACCCAGUGCCGAAUUCAUGUAACAGCUCUCAUAACCGAGUACCUGUACCGGAGAGGUCUCCGACAACAGGGGUGCAAAACCUUUAGUUCCUUGUCACCUAAUAUUGUUCAAGAUGAGAGCAACCUUCGUUUAGUCACAGGAAUCCAUGAUACUCAGUAUGACGAAGCCAUGCUACUCAAACAGUUGGAAGAAUGUAGCCGUGCGGUAGAAAAAGCUGAACGCUACGAAAUGCAACUCGAAAUUUACCGAUUAUUGUACCAACUUAUGAAAAACAGAGAGACUACGUUGCAUUAGCUGAGUGUUUUGGUGUCCUUUCCCAGGCGUGUUCUCGAGCCAAUGAAGUAAAUCGAACUUGGAAACGGUUGCUUGCUGGUAUUUAGGCCUACUACCGAGUUGCACUGUAUGGAAAAGUAUUUCAUUGGCUCCGUCAGUAGGUGGCUAAAAUCAAGUUGUCCCCCAGCCGCCAGAUGACUCGAGUGUCUUUGAGAAGUCAUUGUUAGUUGAAUCAUGAGGUUCUGAGAGAAAGAGUCGCCAUUUUUAGACCUUUUAUUUUAGUGAGGUUUUGACUUUUGAAUUUUGAUGUUGGCUUAAUUAGCUGGAUGGCUGGAUUGCCACUUGUGAGGCAUUUCUUAGAAUGUGAUGGGUUUUAGUUGGUUCGGGUUAGCGGUUCGUGAGCUUGCUAUUAUUCUUAUUGAUUCUUGUAUUGAUGCGAUUAAAUUGCAUUGCAUGUGCAGUGAAAGUGGCCUGAAAGCAUGCUGAAAGUGUUUAAUUUCAUUUUUAUUUGUAGACGAAUUUUGAUGCUGAAAGUGAAAGACUUGGAAACCAUGCUGUCGACCACGUCGAGAAGCUGAGUAACAUUCUGCUUUUACGAUGGCACCUCUUAAUAAAAGGAACUUAAGCCAUCCAACCUAGGACUUCCAUCAAAUCGUGCAGGCUGCAUGGAAGUUGCAUUUACCUUUGCUGUGAACAUCAUGAACACAUAUACACUAUUUGAAGGUUCAUGUUUACGUAGCAGUGGUGUUGCUGUCCAAUGUGGCGUGUUGUUGCAGCCUAUGGUGGUGAACGAUAUCUGCAUCAAGUUGCUGUUCUUGUGCAUCCAAGGUGCUGGUUUAGUGCUACAGAAGUGACAUCCAAUAUUGUGUUCAAUUGCUAUUUGUGUCUUUGCAGUUUACCUUUAUAUAUUGAGAAGAAACAACAAAAAUAGUAAUACGGGGAGGUUUAUGUCAAACAAAUAAUAAACAUGUCCAGGAUGGGGGAAUGAGGAGGGAGUUGGGGUGGGGUAUUUUGUUAUGAUUUACUAAAAGAAGUAAGGUAUAUUUAUAAUGAAUAUGCAGUACUUGGUGAUAAAAUCUGUUGUAAACCUAUACCUUCCUGUCAACCUAUACCUUCCCCACUUAUACAUCCAUUCCUCAAACCC